This 440-nucleotide ribosomal RNA is filed under the name uncultured bacterium. RNAcentral's name for it is "partial 16S ribosomal RNA". It matches the Rfam family "Bacterial small subunit ribosomal RNA", at positions 338 to 795 of the family's 1533-position model. The record is from RNAcentral.
CCUACGGGCGACAGCAGUGGGGAAUAUUGCACAAUGGGGGAAACCCUGAUGCAGCGACGCCGCGUGAAGGAAGAAGUAUUUCGGUAUGUAAACUUCUAUCAGCAGGGAAGAAAAUGACGGUACCUGACUAAGAAGCCCCGGCUAACUACGUGCCAGCAGCCGCGGUAAUACGUAGGGGGCAAGCGUUAUCCGGAUUUACUGGGUGUAAAGGGAGCGUAGGCGGUUUAGCAAGUCAGAAGUGAAAGCCCGGGGCUCAACUCCGGGACUGCUUUUGAAACUGUUGAACUAGAUUGCAGGAGAGGUAGGUGGAAUUCGUGGUGUAGCGGGAAAAUGCGUAGAGAUUAGGAGGAACACCAGUGGCGAAGGCGGCUUGCUGGACUGUAAAUGACGCUGAGGCGCGAAAGCGUGGGGAGCAAACAGGAUUAGAUACCCUUGUAGUC